Molecule: long non-coding RNA, 272 nt
Organism: Lytechinus pictus (painted urchin)
Lineage: Eukaryota; Metazoa; Echinodermata; Echinoidea; Temnopleuroida; Toxopneustidae
Exons: 3
Source: RefSeq, a predicted model, not a curated record
UUGCAAGACCUUGUCACCAUGUCGGAUGAUGGUAUUCAGCUUCACCAGUUGCAGAGUUGGACACCUGAGGAUGUUAGAAAAUACUUCACGAAGAAUGACUUAUCUAAAGAGGGAAUUAUCCUCGAGCGUAAUAACAUCAAAGGAAGUAAUUUAUUGCGGAUUACUGAUGAAACGCUGAAAGUCAUGGGAGUAAAAACCAUUCGCGAGAGGUUGUCCGUCAUAGACCUCAUCGACAAUCUGGCAAAAAGCUUCAGAACUGUCAACACCAAGGU